GCUCUUGUCACACUCGCUCCAGGCACCCCAGUCACCCACCUGGCAGUCCAGCACUAGAAGAAAGAUGACCAGCGUUGCCAGAUAGAGCGGAGAAGGCUUCAAUCUUUGAAGCGAGGAAUAAGAACAGCUUUAUUGACCUUUUUGUUCCGACAUGGCCGACCAGCGGCCGGGCGAGCGAUGAACCAGGAUUCGUUCCAAGUGAUUUGCCCAAAGGCGUCGGGGCAAUAUCCUGGCGGGCGUGGGAGGACGAGGAUGGGGUGAUAAUUUCGCGCAGUGCACAAAGGCAAUUUCUAUUUUCAUUUUGCCCAACGCCCCUGCUCCUGGCAGCCCUGGAAGUCCUGCCCCCGUCCUGGCACCAGGACCCCCCCCCCCAUCAUCAUCAUCAUCAUCAUGCCAUUGGCUUUUUAUUGUGGCCGGCGUGGAAUUAACAGAAAGCAGGACGCACAGCAGAGCAGAGCAGAAAAAGGACUAAAAAGGACAAGAAGGCGUCGUCGCUGGAGUCGCGAACAAAGCGCCCAGGAUAAUAGAACUAAGUGCAGGCGCGCUGCUAGAUGGCAGCUCUGGAGGGUGGAAUAAAACUAAAGUAGUUAAAAUUAUGAUUGCAUUGGCUCCAGCACCAGCUCCAGCUCCAGUUCCAGCUUCAUUGCCACCUCCUUGUUGGUUGGUCCUUUUUGGUCCUUUUGCGAAGCCUUUGCCCCGACUUUGGAGCAGCUCCUGCUACUGCUCCUGCUCCUCCUGGUGGUGGUGUUGAAGCGUUUAGCAUAUUGUACGGAGCCCAUGAAUGCGAAUGCGGGCAAAGUUUCGCCACAGCCAAGGACUUUGGGCCAGUACACUGCAAGAAAUACUUUACUAUACUAUGCAAGUACUUCACAACACUCCCCAAUCCUUAAUCCUUUUUUGCUUGCAGUGAUAUCCUUUUUUGUUUUUUUUUUGUGUGAAAACAGCUUGACUCUACGCGACUCUGGGGCUGCGCUUGUUGUGGCAAUAAAUGGCAUUAUGCUGCUUAGCAAUCAUGCCACUUGAUUGUUGUGGCGCAGCGACAAGGAGCUGAAAAUUAGAUGGCCACCAGGAGGAGGAGGAGGAGGAGGAGUCAGUAGCCAGGACAUGGCAACUAUAAGCCAGGAGAGAGAGAGGGAGGCCGGCGGCCGGUGGCCAGGAGGCACUAGCUUUCAGUUAAAGAGCACUUGCAUUCACUUGGACGCUUCAUACCUUCGUCCUGCCGCCUGAACAGGACCUGGCCAAAGGAUAAUGAAAACGGCAAGUAGCACCCACAUACAGUCCUGCUCCUGAUGACUGAUAAUUGAGGACAAGACUGUUGGAAACAGAUUUCGGAUUAGGUCUACGGCUUAUGGCUUAUGCCCGAACUCAAUCGAUAAUGGAGUGCGGAAAAGGACAAUAACAUUCCAGAAUCGCAGCAGCUGCACUCGACUCGAGCACUUGUCACUGGCUUGUUGCAGAUUCCAUUCCCAUUACUACUGGAUGUUGCAUGUUGCAUACUGCAUGUCGUUUGGCAGUUGUUGCAACUGGGACCGAGACUGUGCCUCUGACUGUGUGGAACUGCACUUGGGGCUCCUUGGGGCUCUGAUGCACCGCAUAACUCACUGUCGGACGCUGUGGGAGUGUGGAUGUUGCAAGGACAUUGGUCAUUGGUGGCAGAAGGGCACAACGAUGACGGCAGGACACCCAGACAGCCAGCAAACGGGGCAAACAACAGAAGCGACGCGACGGCGGCAGCUGGGAGUGGAAAAUUCUCGGGGCAUGCCACAAAACUGGGCAGCCAACUGGCCGCAACACCAGGCCAUGGUUAUUUGUGGUCAGCGAAGUAAAACAAAUGGCGUCAACUGUGGCUGGCAGUUAUUUCAGCUGCACUUCAAGAAUUUUCAUGGCAUUUCUGGCUGAAAUAAGCAAGGCCUAGAGCCAUAGAGGGCGCUGCUGCAUUACGUACGGCUCAGAAAGCUUUAGAGGCUAAUAGUAACUGUAAGCUUGUAUAAAUAAGGAAGGACUAGCGGCAAAGGAGCCUUAGAGGGCGCUGUCGCAUAAUGUACGUGUGAUAGUGAGUUGUAUCUCAGAAGUAUGUGUUUUUUAAACUUAAUUGCCUAUCUUUUUGAAUAUUUUAAAUGCUAUUUUAGAUGCUUUAGAAGCUAAUAGUAACUGUAAGCUUGUAUAAACAAGCAAGGACUAGCGGUAAAGGAGCCUUAGAGGGCCUGUCGCAUAAUGUACGUCUGAUAGUGACUUGUAUCUCAAAAGUAUGUGCUUUUUAAACUUAAUUGCCUAUCUUUUUGAA
This is a long non-coding RNA of Drosophila ananassae, 2284 nucleotides long. RefSeq lists it as uncharacterized. The transcript is spliced from 7 exons. NCBI's taxonomy places the organism in Eukaryota, Metazoa, Arthropoda, Insecta, Diptera, Drosophilidae. The record is from RefSeq and is a predicted model, not a curated record.